CCCAUCCAUCUUCCCAAAACACAUCAUUCUGAGAUCCACCCCCGAAACCCCAGGGUGGACCCCUGUUGCUCUAAGACCACUUUCUUGCACUGUGUCUCCGCCCGAAAUACUCCCAAAUGUUCUCUCUCACAGGACACUUCCUGACCCUCUUCCUCAGCCCCCAGCUCCUCCCAGGAAAGAGCCAGCCUCCCAAAUGUCAUGCUCAGGUCCCCAUGAGCAUCCUAUAACGACCCCACUAGACCCUAGGCCCUCCUCUGUGUUCCAACACCUCCCAACUCCCUCCUCCACAGACUCUCCCAAAGAUACCCUCCCAGGCACCCCAUGAUGUGCACCCCGCCCUGGAACUCUCACAGGCUCUCCGGAACCCACUCCCCAAGACCAUUCCCUGGACACCAUACUAUCAAGCAAGACUUGGACAUCAGUGGGUAGUGAUACUCUUAAGGGCUUCCCAGUCCACUGCAGUCAUGGGGCAGAUGCCCCAGGCAAGGAGCUUCACCUGGACACUGGCUCUCUCACUCGCCCCAGCACAGGCACCCAGGGCCCAUGUGUCCCAGGCUAUGCAUCCCCAUCUCCCUCCAUUCCAUUAAAAGUCCAUCUCUCA
This 601-nucleotide long non-coding RNA is filed under the name Homo sapiens (human). RNAcentral describes it as "long non-coding RNA NONHSAT180154". Lineage: Eukaryota; Metazoa; Chordata; Mammalia; Primates; Hominidae. The record is from RNAcentral.